RNAcentral lists this ribosomal RNA (523 nucleotides) under uncultured bacterium. RNAcentral's name for it is "bacterial SSU rRNA". It matches the Rfam family "Bacterial small subunit ribosomal RNA", at positions 775 to 1296 of the family's 1533-position model. The record is from RNAcentral.
AGUCAAUAGAUACCCCGGUAGUCCACGCGUAAACGAUGUCGACUUGGAGGUUGUGCCCUUGAGGCGUGGCUUCCGGAGCUAAACGCGUUAAGUCGACCGCCUGGGGAGUACGGCCGCAAGGUUAAAACUCAAAUGAAUUGACGGGGGCCCGCACAAGCGGUGGAGCAUGUGGUUUAAUUCGAUGCAACGCGAAGAACCUUACCUACUCUUGACAUCCAGAGAACUUUCCAGAGAUGGAUUGGUGCCUUCGGGAACUCUGAGACAGGUGCUGCAUGGCUGUCGUCAGCUCGUGUUGUGAAAUGUUGGGUUAAGUCCCGCAACGAGCGCGACCCUUAUCCUUUGUUGCCAGCGGUUAGGCCGGGAACUCAAAGGAGACUGCCAGUGAUAAACUGGAGGAAGGUGGGGAUGACGUCAAGUCAUCAUGGCCCUUACGAGUAGGGCUACACACGUGCUACAAUGGCGCAUACAAAGAGAAGCGACCUCGCGAGAGCAAGCGGACCUCAUAAAGUGCGUCGUAGUCCGG